UACAGAGGGUGCAAGCGUUAAUCGGAUUUACUGGGCGUAAAGCGCGCGUAGGUGGCCAAUUAAGUCAAAUGUGAAAUCCCUGAGCUUAACUUGGGAAUUGCAUUCGAUACUGGUUGGCUAGAGUAUGGGAGAGGAUGGUAGAAUUCCAGGUGUAGCGGUGAAAUGCGUAGAGAUCUGGAGGAAUACCGAUGGCGAAGGCAGCCAUCUGGCCUAAUACUGACACUGAGGUGCGAAAGCAUGGGGAGCAAACAGG
This 253-nucleotide ribosomal RNA is filed under the name uncultured bacterium. Its description in RNAcentral is "partial 16S ribosomal RNA". It matches the Rfam family "Bacterial small subunit ribosomal RNA", at positions 524 to 776 of the family's 1533-position model. The record is from RNAcentral.